UGGGGAAUAUUGCACAAUGGGCGGAAGCCUGAUGCAGCGACGCCGCGUGAGGGAUGACGGCCUUCGGGUUGUAAACCUCUUUCAGCAGGGACGAAGCGCAAGUGACGGUACCUGCAGAAGAAGCGCCGGCCAACUACGUGCCAGCAGCCGCGGUAAGACGUAGGGCGCGAGCGUUGUCCGGAUUUAUUGGGCGUAAAGAGCUCGUAGGCGGCUUGUCGCGUCGACUGUGAAAACCCGCGGCUCAACCGCGGGCUUGCAGCCGAUACGGGCAGGCUAGAGUUCGGUAGGGGAGACUGGAAUUCCUGGUGUAGCGGUGAAAUGCGCAGAUAUCAGGAGGAACACCGAUGGCGAAGGCAGGUCUCUGGGCCGAUACUGACGCUGAGGAGCGAAAGCGUGGGGAGCGAACAGG
This 409-nucleotide ribosomal RNA is filed under the name Actinomycetes bacterium. RNAcentral describes it as "Actinobacteria bacterium partial 16S ribosomal RNA". It matches the Rfam family "Bacterial small subunit ribosomal RNA", at positions 355 to 776 of the family's 1533-position model. Lineage: Bacteria; Bacillati; Actinomycetota; Actinomycetes. The record is from RNAcentral.